UACGUAGGGGGCAAGCGUUGUCCGGAAUCAUUGGGCGUAAAGAGCGCGUAGGCGGCCCUGUAAGUCCGCUGUGAAAGUCAAGGGCUCAACCCUUGAAUGCCGGUGGAUACUGCAGGGCUAGAGUCCGGAAGAGGCGAGUGGAAUUCCUGGUGUAGCGGUGAAAUGCGCAGAUAUCAGGAGGAACACCGAUGGCGAAGGCAGCUCGCUGGGACGGUACUGACGCUGAGGCACGAAAGCGUGGGGAGCGAGCAGG
Molecule: ribosomal RNA, 253 nt
Filed under: uncultured bacterium
Lineage: Bacteria
Description: partial 16S ribosomal RNA
Rfam family: Bacterial small subunit ribosomal RNA
Source: RNAcentral